UACGGGAGGCAGCAGUGAGGAAUAUUGGUCAAUGGGCGCGAGCCUGAACCAGCCAAGUAGCGUGCAGGAUGACGGCCCUAUGGGUUGUAAACUGCUUUUAUGCGGGGAUAAAGUGCGCCACGUGUGGCGUUUUGUAGGUACCGCAUGAAUAAGGACCGGCUAAUUCCGUGCCAGCAGCCGCGGUAAU
Molecule: ribosomal RNA, 187 nt
Filed under: uncultured rumen bacterium
Lineage: Bacteria
Description: partial 16S ribosomal RNA
Rfam family: Bacterial small subunit ribosomal RNA
Source: RNAcentral